Molecule: RNA transcript, 3712 nt
Organism: Anopheles funestus (African malaria mosquito)
Lineage: Eukaryota; Metazoa; Arthropoda; Insecta; Diptera; Culicidae
Exons: 4
Source: RefSeq, a predicted model, not a curated record
GCGAGUUAAACAAUCGUUCAUCUUUUAAAUUUCCCCGCCCAAUAUGUGUUUGACAGUCCUGUCAGUGUUGUGUUUGUGUGCGUGCGAUGUGCUUGUGCAAUAAUCAAAAGCAAGCGACGCGUGUAAGAAGAGGGUGAAGUGUUAAAUGUGUGUUUGUUAAGUGGUGUCAGAUAGAGAUAGCAGCAAAGUGGGAGGCAGACGGUUAUCGGAAAUGGUUUAUUUAUUUUUCGUGUGACUUUUAGCAAACUUCUACGUUCUGCUGCUGCUGCUCCUGCUGAUAAGGUGCGUUAUGUUGAGUUGGUGUAGUGAAAUACGAAAAAAAAUAGCACUCCCCUCGUAGUGUAUAAUGUACGUGCGAUUUGCGAUUAAGGUUAACUGCAGACGCUACACUGGACACAUAUUACGCAAAGUAAAGAAUUUGUCCACAUACAGCGAGUGUGAAAAUGUCUGACGAUGACGCUCCACGUACAACCGUGUCCCCGCCAUUAAACUGCGCAAAAAUUGAGGCCGCAUCAUCACCCGUUGAGUUCCAAGAACUUGAACACCCCUUCGUAAAGGGGGAAAACGUUUCGGACGGUGUGAAAGUGAAACCCGAAACAGAAUCACCGGAAUCGAACGAUACGUGUGUAGUGCAGCUCCGAUCGAAUGACCAUGAAGCGUCAAAAGUCAAGCAACGAAAAUGUGUACAAUUUACGACCACAACAACCAUACCGCCCGGCACUGCAGAUGAUACGCUGCGCAAGUUCAUCGAAGGUGAGGAAAUAUUGGACAAAAAGAACCCGUUCAAAAUCGACGAACAGCAGUACGAUGCGGAGCAGUAUGCGGACCGUCGAAUGCUACACAACGCCACCGUGCGCGAUAAAUGCUUUCCCGAUGACGGGGCAACGUUCCUUACCGAAUCUCCCGAUGGUGGUGGUAACGAUGCGGACGAUUCUGACACCGAUCUGGACGAUAACGUUUUCAUAACGAAGGAAGAAAUACUGCGACAAUCGAAGUACGUGAAGACGUACAUAAAAAAUCCUGAUAAGCAGCUCAAUUAUGAUAAAAGUGUAAUCCAACAAAUGGACGCACUGAAAGCGAAAGGGCUUGCGGUGCGUGAUGUGGUAGUGGUUGAAAGUGCACCCAUGCCCGCAGUCGUAAGGCCACCGAUACCGGCACCGCGGGCCAUUCAUCGUCAGAGCGAUCGAAACAACAACAAUCGAAGGCAAAGCUUCUUACCGCAAAUGAGCCGCGGUGGAAUGCGUAAACCGAUACCGCGAGCGAGACGUGACUAUGCCGAGGUAAAGGUGCGCACCGGUUCGGCCGAAGCUGAAGAAUCGCUGUACGAUUCGAAUGAGGUCGUACAGAAUGCGCUGAAGUUUGAUAGCCGGUUUAGGAAGGUGGAAUUUGGCUCGCAAGAUGAUAUCGAUACGAUCGCCGAAAGGACGGAAGAUGGAACGGAUCAACCGGCGGUUUCCGUUUGUACGGUACAACAUGAAACACGUCCAGCUGUGAGGGAAAAGGAACCGAAUGCUUCCCCGAGUAAGGAUCGGUCCGAUGGGCGCAAGACGACCUUUGCCGAGGAUGUAAAGAAAUCGUUCUCAAACACGGUGAAAAGUGCCGACUUCCGAAAGUACCUUCAAAGCAAAGGACUCUCCCUAGUGCCGGCAAAACCGAAACCGAUCGAGCCUUCUCAGCCGGGCCGCAGACCGCAUGAGACGGAUUCCCCCAACAAGGCUCAUCGACUAUCAACAAUCUCUGUCAGCAGCACACCAGCUCCAGGACGCCACACGCCGGUGAAACCUUCGAUGCUAACGCGCUUCUUUCAAAACAGUCUAUUCGCACCAAAAACUCCAAAUGAUCCUGCUUAUUCUUCGGUGUUUGCACGAUCUUCCACACCGGUUCUUUUUAGUACGCAACCGCGCCAAACCCGACCACAGCCGCCGGCACGAAUUGGUAGUUUUAACAGCUCGCUAAGCAAACGGUCCGCCGCCACGGUGGAUGUUAAACCAAAGGAUAAUUUUAGACAGUUGGUAGAAGGACGGGGUGAUACGAUGAACGCUCCCGUGAGCAGGCGUCCUGCUUCGGUAAAUGAUUUUGAGCGACCCAAAUUGCGCUCGCAACUCGCCAAUAGAUCUGCAUCCUUGGUGGACUCUUUAAAGCGCCCAGUGAAAAAUGCUGGCGUACAAGUAAACCUAGCCACGGAUGCAUCUAACAAAGGACAAAUAGUGCGUAAUAGUCAGUUGGCUGAGAUGCAGCAGCGGUUCAUAGCCUCGCAACCGAAUGGUGGUGCUGGUGCCGGUGGUCUACCACUCAAAGAUCCUGUCGUUGGACAGAAGUAUCAGCAUCAUCCGGUCACUUAUCACUCGCUACGACAGCGACCGGAUGCUCGUUUUUAUGGAGGAUCGAUGCACACGGUAGCUCCACUCUAUUCGGAACCGCUGCGCGAUGCACAAAUGCGCGUGCCGGAUGAAACGGAUUCAGGAUUCCGCUCGACACUGGACAAUGGAUAUCACAUCUACGAACAAACGCCUGAUAAUUUGAGACGCAGCGAAAUGCUUUACGGUAAAAUCGGUUACCUUAGCAACACGCAGCUAAACCGAUGGCAGCCACAGGAUCGUCGAUCGUACAGCAGCAUGCAGGAAGGUGUAACUGGGAUGAACGGUGGAACGUACGGUCGUUUGCGGCCACUCUACGUUUCCUCUCCCAUGUCCACCCAAUCGACACCGGUACGUCGCGCCUCGGAUGUAAUGGAUCGCGAGCAAAUUCUUCAUCGUAUCUACGAUUUCUGUCGCCGAUCGAUACGCAACAGCAGCAAAACGAGCGUACACUCGAACCAAACGGAACCAACCUACCAGAGCAAUAAUGUGUACGGUUCGAAAAUUGUCCCUAGUGGAUCCUUUCCCGUCGAACGACAACGGGUACAACGAGUACAAAGUUUAAACACUCCAAGACCGAUCGCAACAAACCAUGGUGCGUUGAAUUAUACCAGAGCGGUUGCCGUGCCUGUACCGAUGAACUCGUUUAAUCAGGCAAACCUCACGACAGCUUCGCAAAACCAGCACGAGCGUAAUAUUGAGAAUAUUUACGCGUUCGUGAAUAAAAAAAUGGUCCAAAUGAAUGUAGGUGGUGCGGUCGAUCAUCGUAACAACAUACGAUCGGUGCAAACAUCCGCCCCAUCCACCCUACGUCGGGUGACAUUUUCGAGCAAAGGUACAGGACACGAUGGCCUGACGGAUGGGCUCGAGGAAGCCGAUUACGUGAACAUUCGUGGUGCUCCAGAUGGGCUACUAACAUACGGAAUUGGUUCACUUUGAAAAUGCUUUACAAUGCCUGGAGCGCUUUAUAUUUAGCAGCAGAAGUAAGCUUGUGUCAGUCACCAGGUUGUGCACUGGGGGUUGGUAUCCAGUACAGAACUACACAAUGCUGAGAGAUUUCAAUUAUGGUGCCACACGUGCCCGAUACUUUCGUAAGAAGAUCGUGAUAGCAGAGCAAAAGCAAUACAGUAUUCUAAACAAAAAAAAAGCCGAAACACGCUAACGAUGACGUAUAUAGUUCUUCGCAAAUAUAGCUAGCAAGCAGCAAACAAAAAACAUAAGCAAACACAUUUUGAAUCCUAUUAGAAUCUAUAACGGAGCAUAGUUUUGCUAAAACCAUUUUUUAAUAUUGCGCGCAUUAUACCUACUAUUAUACCAUAAUACAUUCAUACAAAUAUAUAUCUAUGAAAAACAAA